This 254-nucleotide ribosomal RNA is filed under the name uncultured bacterium. RNAcentral describes it as "partial 16S ribosomal RNA". It matches the Rfam family "Bacterial small subunit ribosomal RNA", at positions 524 to 776 of the family's 1533-position model. The record is from RNAcentral.
UACGGGGGGAGCAAGCGUUGUUCGGAUUUACUGGGCGUAAAGGGCGCGUAGGCGGCCACCGCAAGUCGACUGUGAAAUCUCCGGGCUUAACCCGGAAAGGUCAACCGAUACUGCGGGGCUAGAGUGCAGAAGGGGCAACUGGAAUUCUCGGUGUAGCGGUGAAAUGCGUAGAUAUCGAGAGGAACACCUGCGGCGAAGGCGGGUUGCUGGGCUGACACUGACGCUGAUGUGCGAAAGCUAGGGGAGCGAACGGG